This 387-nucleotide ribosomal RNA is filed under the name uncultured bacterium. RNAcentral describes it as "bacterial SSU rRNA". It matches the Rfam family "Bacterial small subunit ribosomal RNA", at positions 370 to 772 of the family's 1533-position model. The record is from RNAcentral.
AAUGGACGAAAGUCUGACGCAGCAACUCCGCGUGCGGGAUGAAGGCCCUCGGGUCGUAAACCGCUUUCAGUAGGGAAGAACCAAGACGGUACCUACAGAAGAAGCACCGGCUAACUACGUGCCAGCAGCCGCGGUGAUACGUAGGGUGCAAGCGUUGUCCGGAUUGAUUGGGCGUAAAGGGCCCGUAGGCGGUUCGGCAAGUCGAUGGUGAAAUCUCAGGGCUCAACCCUGAGAGGUCUGUCGAUACUGCUGUGACUAGAGUUUGGUAGGGGAGCACGGAAUUCCAGGUGUAGCGGUGAAAUGCGCAGAUAUCUGGAGGAACACCAAUGGCGAAGGCAGUGCUCUGGGCCAAUACUGACGCUGAGGGGCGAAAGCGUGGGGAGCGAA